AUUGAACGCUAGCGGGAUGCUUUACACAUGCAAGUCGAACGCGUGGCGGACGGGUGAGUAAUAUAUCGGUACGUGCCCAGUAGCGGGGGAUAACUACUCGAAAGAGUGGCUAAUACCGCAUACUCUUGGAGCGGCCGAGAUCGGAUUAGCUAGGUGGUGGGGUAAAGGAUCAACAAGGCAACGAUCCGUAGCUGGUUGGAGAGGAAGACCAGCCACACUGGGACUGAGACACGGCCCAGACUCCUACGGGAGGCAGCAGUGGGGAAUUGUGGACAAGGGGGGAAACCCUGAUCCAGCCAUCCCGCGUGUAUGAGAAGGCCUUCGGGUUGUAAAGUACUUUUGGCAGAGAAGCGGUAUCUGCAGAAUAAGCACCGGCUAACUACGUGCCAGCAGCCGCGGUAAUUC
Molecule: ribosomal RNA, 405 nt
Filed under: uncultured bacterium
Lineage: Bacteria
Description: partial 16S ribosomal RNA
Rfam family: Bacterial small subunit ribosomal RNA
Source: RNAcentral